GCGCACGGGUGAGUAACGCGUGGAUAAUCUGCCCUUAUGAUCGGAAUAACAGUUGGAAACGGCUGCUAAUACCGGAUACGCUCAAAAUGAACUUUUUGAGGAAAGAUGGCCUCUGCUUGCAUGCUAUCGCGUAAGGAUGAGUCCGCGUCCCAUUAGCUUGUUGGCGGGGUAACGGCCCACCAAGGCAUCGAUGGGUAGCCGAUUUGAGAGGAUGAUCGGCCACACUGGAACUGAAACACGGUCCAGACUCC
RNAcentral lists this ribosomal RNA (251 nucleotides) under uncultured Desulfovibrio sp. Its description in RNAcentral is "partial 16S ribosomal RNA". It matches the Rfam family "Bacterial small subunit ribosomal RNA", at positions 98 to 339 of the family's 1533-position model. Lineage: Bacteria; Pseudomonadati; Thermodesulfobacteriota; Desulfovibrionia; Desulfovibrionales; Desulfovibrionaceae. The record is from RNAcentral.